AUUGAAUUGAGCUGCCCUCGCCGUCUCCUCGCUCAAAUGGACCUGACUGCUUUUACAGUUGUCGGGAAGUUUACAUCCACUUAGGUUGGAGUCAUUAAAACUAGUUUACAUACACUUAGGUUGGAGUCAUUAAAACUAGUUUACACACACUUAGGUUGGAGUCAUUAAAACUAGUUUACAUCCACUUAGGUUGGAGUCAUUAAAACUAGUUUACAUACACUUAGGUUGGAGUCAUUACAACUAGUUUACAUACACUUAGGUUGGAGUCAUUAAAACUAGUUUACAUACACUUAGGUUGGAGUCAUUAAAACUAGUUUACAUACACUUAGGUUGGAGUCAUUAAAACUAGUUUACAUACACUUAGGUUGGAGUCAUUAAAACUAGUUUACAUCCACUUAGGUUGGAGUCAUUAAAACUAGUUUACAUCCACUUAGGUUGGAGUCAUUAAAACUAGUUUACAUCCACUUAGGUUGGAGUCAUUAAAACUAGUUUACAUCCACUUAGGUUGGAGUCAUUAAAACUAGUUUACAUACACUUAGGUUGGAGUCAUUAAAACUAGUUUACAUCCACUUAGGUUGGAGUCAUUAAAACUAGUUUACAUACACUUAGGUUGGAGUCAUUAAAACUAGUUUACAUCCACUUAGGUUGGAGUCAUUAAAACUAGUUUACAUCCACUUAGGUUGGAGUCAUUAAAACUAGUUUACAUCCACUUAGGUUGGAGUCAUUAAAACUAGUUUACACCCACUUAGGUUGGAGUCAUUAAAACUAGUUUACAUCCACUUAGGUUGGAGUCAUUAAAACUAGUUUACAUACACUUAGGUUGGAGUCAUUAAAACUAGUUUACAUCCACUUAGGUUGGAGUCAUUAAAACUAGUUUACAUCCACUUAGGUUGGAGUCAUUAAAACUAGUUUACAUCCACUUAGGUUGGAGUCAUUAAAACUAGUUUACAUCCACUUAGGUUGGAGUCAUUAAAACUAGUUUACAUCCACUUAGGUUGGAGUCAUUAAAACUAGUUUACAUCCACUUAGGUUGGAGUCAUUAAAACUAGUUUACAUCCACUUAGGUUGGAGUCAUUAAAACUAGU
Oncorhynchus keta (chum salmon) is the source of this 1085-nucleotide long non-coding RNA. RefSeq lists it as uncharacterized. Lineage: Eukaryota; Metazoa; Chordata; Actinopteri; Salmoniformes; Salmonidae. The transcript has 3 exons. The record is from RefSeq and is a predicted model, not a curated record.